CCUACGGGAGGCAGCAGUGGGGAAUAUUGGGCAAUGGGCGAAAGCCUGACCCAGCAACGCCGCGUGAAGGAAGAAGGCUUUCGGGUUGUAAACUUCUUUUGACAGGGAAGAGCAGAAGACGGUACCUGUCGAAUAAGCCACGGCUAACUACGUGCCAGCAGCCGCGGUAAUACGUAGGUGGCAAGCGUUGUCCGGAUUUACUGGGUGUAAAGGGCGUGUAGCCGGGCUGACAAGUCAGAUGUGAAAUCCGGGGGCUCAACCCCCGAACUGCAUUUGAAACUGUUGGUCUUGAGUAUCGGAGAGGCAGGCGGAAUUCCUAGUGUAGCGGUGAAAUGCGUAGAUAUUAGGAGGAACACCAGUGGCGAAGGCGGCCUGCUGGACGACAACUGACGGUGAGGCGCGAAAGCGUGGGGAGCAAACAGGAUUAGAUACCCCAGUAGUC
RNAcentral lists this ribosomal RNA (442 nucleotides) under uncultured bacterium. RNAcentral's name for it is "partial 16S ribosomal RNA". It matches the Rfam family "Bacterial small subunit ribosomal RNA", at positions 338 to 795 of the family's 1533-position model. The record is from RNAcentral.